GGGAAAAGCCGACAGGUGCGGAGGAGCACGUGGUUCGGCAGGGGCAUCCCUUAGGGGAGGCUCUGUUAAUGGAGAUUCUCUAUGUCCUAGUAAGGAGGAGAGGAUGGAAGAUGAUAAAAUACAGGGCCUGAUCCUACAAGUGCUUUCAGCUCUUCACUGAAGCAAGCAGGAGUUGAGAACACCUAGCAGCUUCCAGAUUGUCUCUGGGCUGGUGUGGUGAUGUUCCACUGGGACUAGUCUGCAUGGAAAGUAAAGCAAGCAGGAGGGAAAGGAAAAUACAGUGAUUCUUACAGGGGACUUGUUGUGUGCAAGGUGGGGAGGAGUGCAACAGGGUGCCUGUCAUGUCCACACCUUGGUCUUUGCAAGGCAGCAGAUGUGGACUAAUAAUCUGAGCAGUUUAUCAGCCCCCCUCUCUGCCCUUCACUGUGGCGGAGGGGAAGGAAUUACUAGGACUUGCAGGGAGCAUGGACGUGGCCACAAAGAGAGGCAGACAUGGCUCUCAUGUCAGUUUCCCUUGUGAAGCCAGCCCCGUUCUGCAGCCGCUGAAGAGACCACACUGCAGCCCAGAUUGCAGUGAGAGCUGAAUGAAUAAACUGGCAGCGCUGACAGCGCUCUAUGGUCUGUAACAAUUAAAGAAGGAAUUUGUUUGA
This is a long non-coding RNA of Mauremys reevesii (Reeves's turtle), 650 nucleotides long. RefSeq lists it as uncharacterized. The record is from RefSeq and is a predicted model, not a curated record. The transcript is spliced from 4 exons. Lineage: Eukaryota; Metazoa; Chordata; Testudines; Geoemydidae.